UUGCUCCCUUCCUCAGCACAGAUAUUGAAAUUGGAGUAACACAGAAAAAUUGCCACUGGCACUGUGCAAGGAUAACACGGAAACUCAUGGAAUGUUCCAUAUUUUU
Small nuclear RNA from Leucoraja erinaceus (little skate), 106 nucleotides. NCBI's taxonomy places the organism in Eukaryota, Metazoa, Chordata, Chondrichthyes, Rajiformes, Rajidae. The record is from RefSeq and is a predicted model, not a curated record.